CUUGCUGCCAGAUAGCUCCACUGCCUUCCAGCAGGGGUGUAUGUUUAUGGAGGCGUCUGGUUUCCAUAGUAACCCUGUAUGCUUGCGAGGUAGUAGGCCCUGAUUUUUGGGCGCCCGGAGGACAUAGGAUGAUGUCGGUUCUGUCAGUGCCGGACUGCAAGGCGGUGUCAGUGGUCUUGAAUCACUUCAUGGAAGUGGAGAAACACGUAAAAGAUAAAGACCCAGGAUUUGACGAAGACAUUUCAUACCACUUGAUGUCAGUGGCAGAUGCUGUUAAGGAACUGGAAGACAUAAGAAGGAAUACACGGGAGCUUCUGGAAGUGGCAACUAUAGAAAACAGCAAAUUACGAUACCGAACUGUGCAUCUGCCAAGAAUCAUCACAAGAGAGAUUGAAGAUGCAGUUAGAAGCGCUCGUGAGUCCAUUGCUGCAGAGAGACUUCACUUAGAGAAUGAACUGAAACAGAUCAGGGAGCAGCUGGAAAAAACUGAAAGAAAGCAAAAAGAACUUGAAGAGAUGAAUGAAUAUAUGAGUCAACAGGGAGAAAUGUUAUGGGACAAACAUCAAGAAGCUGUUGAUUUACUAAACCAGCAGAUGGCAGGCAAAGCCUAUCAAAGCAUUCUUGUGAACGAGACCCACAACAAACGUAAAGAAGCCGAAGAAGCCGUAAUUGAAUAUCAGAACCGAACUGAAGACCUAGAAGAGGAUUUAGCAAUAGAAAGACAGCAGUUCAUUGAGGAGAAAGAAAAAUUAAUGGCUGAGAUUGCAGAAACACAAAGAAAAACUGAAAUACAAAAUGCCAGAAAUGCAGAAAAGAAAGUAUAUCUCAGUCAGAGGAGGUCAGUGCUGUUUGAUGUGGAAGAGAAAAUAACCAUGGAGAAGGAGAACAUAUCUUCUAUAAGGGGCAAAAUUUUACUUUUGCAAGCUUCACAUGGAAGACUGACAAAUAAACUAGACGUACAAAUGAAACAGUCAAUGGAUACCUCAAACAAAAUAGACAUUCUCGAGCUGCACAUGAUAAAUGAGAGAGAGAAUUUUUAUAAACAAAGCAACUCUUCAAAGGAUGAAAUAUCAAAGAUAGAUUUGCAAAUGAACACAGCUGAAAUAUUACAUGAGUCUCUGACAAAGAAGUAUAAAGAUUUGAAGCAGAAAUACCAGACAGCAACCGAGGAGGAAGACAGGCAGCAUGCGAUAAAGAGAGACAUGACUAAACAACUUGAGCUUUCAAGAUCUGCCCUUGACGAAAAACAGGAACUUUUAGGAAAGUUGAAGAUGGAGCUCAAAGAAAUGGAGCACGACACUGAAAAGCUUUUGGAAAGUAUGAGAAUGACCUCAGAACAGCUUGCCAUUCACGUGGAUGAAUUCAAGGAGAAUCUGGCAAUAGAACAUCAAAAAAGAUUGAGUAUCCAGAUUAAAAAAGAUGAAAUGACCAAUGACAUGGAGCUUUGGAAACUGUCAGAGGAAGCAUUUAUAAAUGAAAUGAAGAAAAGAAUUAAAAAUGGAGAAGAUAAGAAAGGUUUUCUAACAAAGGAGGGCAGCCAUCUCCAGAGAGACAUUGAGAAAUGGGGCAACGAGAUCUGCAGCAUAAAUGAAGAACAUGCUAAAGCAAGCAGAGAAUAUUCUAGUCAAGUACAAAAUCUUAAGGAUCAAAUAAAAAAUCUGGAGGAGAAAAUAAAGAAUUCAAUUUCAAGUCUAGAAAAUGAACAAGAGAAACUGGCCAUGAAAAUUCCCAUCAUGAAUGCAGCAGAGGACACAUACAACAAGGAGCACACCAACUAUGAAGACCUGAAAAAGAAAUCUAGUGCCAUGAAAAGCAAGCAAAAAUCUUUGGAGGGAUCCAUCAACAGAAUUGCAAAGGAUAUUGAAGACAGUGUAAAGACAAAGGACAUGAACAAUGCUUCUUUAAAAGCGAUUAGAAAAUCAGCUUUUGACAAGCUUCAGACUGAUCUUGCAACUUUAAAGCUAACAGACAAAGAAAUGUAUGAAACAAACAGAAGGCUUGAACUUGUCAUCAUGGAGAACUGCAGGCUGAAAUUGCAAAAUGCACAAUAUAAAGAAGACAUCAGUACCAUCAUAAACGAAUCGCAACUACAUAUAUCAGCUACAAGUCAUGUAGAGAAAGAUCAAGCAUCUCUCAUUGAGCAUCUGCAUGAAGGUUGGGACCAAGACAACUUUGUUUGUAAUGACUUUUCUGAGAGAGACCAUGAGAUCCUGGAUUCAAUUGUUGAGCUUUUAAAAAAGAUUAGCAAGAGAGAGGAGAAGGUCGGACACCUGAAUAAUGUACUACAUGAGAAGUAUAUUGGACUCUCUUCUAUUUUAGAGUGCAAAGCAGGGCUAUCUAUAUGAGGGCUCAUUUUCUGUGGUGUGAUCUGUAGUUUUUAUCGAUACAUUUUUUAAAGGAAAAAAGCCAAGAAUUCCUUCCAAAUGACCUGGAAGCAGUACAUCCACUCCUUAAAGCAGGAUAUUUUUCUUUCGGAACAUCAAACAAAAUAGUAUAUUACAGAAAUCAAUGUAUAAAAGAAACAAAUAAAAUUCCAUUUACUUACCUUCAUAUAUAACCACAAAACAGAAUUCAAAAAUAAAUAGAAUCAAUUUACAAAGGAUCAGAAGACACAGUAAGAGAAUCAGCCUCUGCCCAUAACUCCUGAGGAAGGCUGUGUGUUAUGAGGUUAUUUUCAAUGCGUUGCUCUUAGGUCAAAGCUCUGCAGACAUUUAUUAGACUUCUAAACUUUACUAAGCAGACUGGUGAAUCCUGUAGUGUUCUAGUUCACUGUGAAGUUCCAGCAUGCUCUACCAGGCAGUACCUUGUCCCCUAAUACUUUAGGUGCUAUAGCAAGAUUGUGAUAUCAGGGUGCAGGUUCAUUCAAUGAUGGAAGGUUUUGUAAUCUAUAGGAAUAAAGCUUCAUGGUGAAGACAAAGGCUUUAAUAAUGUUUGCUGGUUACUUAUCAGAAAUAGCCAGUUAUAUUAAAGGGGUUCUCCCUUGUUUAUACUGUUUUUUGUUAUUAUGUUUGUGAGUUAUGUGUGUAUAAGUAUG
This is an RNA transcript of Hyla sarda, 3034 nucleotides long. It is a transcript of the gene named titin homolog, with no coding region annotated. The transcript has 21 exons. The record is from RefSeq and is a predicted model, not a curated record. NCBI's taxonomy places the organism in Eukaryota, Metazoa, Chordata, Amphibia, Anura, Hylidae.